This 450-nucleotide ribosomal RNA is filed under the name uncultured bacterium. RNAcentral's name for it is "partial 16S ribosomal RNA". It matches the Rfam family "Bacterial small subunit ribosomal RNA", at positions 338 to 795 of the family's 1533-position model. The record is from RNAcentral.
CCUACGGGUGGCUGCAGUGGGGAAUAUUGGACAAUGGGCGCAAGCCUGAUCCAGCAAUGCCGCGUGUGUGAAGAAGGCCUGCGGGUUGUAAAGCACUUUAAGCAGGAAAGAAGGGGUGAAAGUUAAUACCUUUCAUCAUUGACGUUACCUGCAGAAUAAGCACCGGCUAACUCCGUGCCAGCAGCCGCGGUAAUACGGAGGGUGCGUACGUUAAUCGGAAUUACCGUAGGCAAUUCGCUCAGUGGCGGGUGAAAGCCCUGGGCUUAACCUGGGAACUGCGGUGGAUACUGUCGGGCUAGAGUGUGGUAGAGGGGAGUGGAAUUUCCGGUGUAGCAGUGAAAUGCGUAGAGAUCGGAAGGAACACCAGUGGCGAAGGCGGCUCCCUGGACUAACACUGACGCUGAGGUGCGAAAGCGUGGGGAGCAAACAGGAUUAGAUACCCCGGUAGUC